This 253-nucleotide ribosomal RNA is filed under the name uncultured bacterium. Its description in RNAcentral is "partial 16S ribosomal RNA". It matches the Rfam family "Bacterial small subunit ribosomal RNA", at positions 524 to 776 of the family's 1533-position model. The record is from RNAcentral.
GACAGAGGGUGCGAACGUUGUUCGGAAUUACUGGGCGUAAAGCGCACGUAGGCGGGUUCUUAAGUCGGUGGUGAAAUCCUGGAGCUCAACUCCAGAACUGCCUUCGAUACUGGGAAUCUUGAGUCCGGGAGAGGUGAGUGGAACUGCGAGUGUAGAGGUGAAAUUCGUAGAUAUUCGCAAGAACACCAGUGGCGAAGGCGGCUCACUGGCCCGGUACUGACGCUGAGGUGCGAAAGCGUGGGGAGCAAACAGG